Molecule: ribosomal RNA, 410 nt
Filed under: uncultured Ochrobactrum sp.
Lineage: Bacteria; Pseudomonadati; Pseudomonadota; Alphaproteobacteria; Hyphomicrobiales; Brucellaceae
Description: bacterial SSU rRNA
Rfam family: Bacterial small subunit ribosomal RNA
Source: RNAcentral
CAUGCAGUCGAGCGCCCCGCAGGGGAGCGGCAGACGGGUGAGUAACGCGUGGGAACCUACCUUUUGCUACGGAAUAACUCAGGGAAACUUGUGCUAAUACCGUAUGUGCCCUUCGGGGGAAAGAUUUAUCGGAAAAGGAUCAGCCCGCGUUGGAUUAGCUAGUUGGUGAGGUAAAGGCUCACCAAGGCGACGAUCCAUAGCUGGUCUGAGAGGAUGAUCAGCCACACUGGGACUGAGACACGGCCCANACUCCUACGGGAGGCAGCAGUGGGGAAUAUUGGACAAUGGGCGCAAGCCUGAUCCAGCCAUGCCGCGUGAGUGAUGAAGGCCCUAGGGUUGUAAAGCUCUUUCACCGGUGAAGAUAAUGACGGUAACCGGAGAAGAAGCCCCGGCUAACUUCGUGCCAGCAC